CCUACGGGGGGCAGCAGUGGGGAAUUUUGGACAAUGGGCGCAAGCCUGAUCCAGCUAUUCCGCGUGUGGGAAGACGGCCUUCGGGUUGUAAACCACUUUUGUAGAGAACGAAAAGUCUAUUGAUAAUACCGAUAGAUGAUGACGGUACUCUAAGAAUAAGCACCGGCUAACUACGUGCCAGCAGCCGCGGUAAUACGUCGGGUGCGAGCGUUAAUCGGAAUUACUGGGCGUAAAGGGUGUGCAGGCGGUUUUGCAAGAUGGAUGUGAAAGCCCCGGGCUUAACCUGGGAAAGCCAUACAUGACUGGAAGACUAGAGUGCGUCAGAGGGGGGUGGAAUUCCAAGUGUAGCAGUGAAAUGCGUAGAUAUUUGGAAGAACACCGAUGGCGAAGGCAGCCCCCUGGGACGCAACUGACGCUCAUACACGAAAGCGUGGGGAGCAAACAGGAUUAGAUACCCCGGUAGUC
This 465-nucleotide ribosomal RNA is filed under the name uncultured bacterium. Its description in RNAcentral is "partial 16S ribosomal RNA". It matches the Rfam family "Bacterial small subunit ribosomal RNA", at positions 338 to 795 of the family's 1533-position model. The record is from RNAcentral.